GGGAAGAGGCUCCCACUAAAUUCCAGAGCGACGCGCUGCACGUAGCUAACCGACCUCAUCGCGCUUCCAAGGGCCGAGGGACCGGGGAACCCCGCUAAAUGUUCCCCGAGCCCCUCCCGAGAGCCGCCCGCGCGGAAGGCCGGCCAAAGUGGAAAGUUACGUCACCCCCCGAGCCUCCAAUCGCGGCCUUCGUCGCUUAAUCUUAAAGAGGAGUGCUGGUCUUGAACACUGGAGACUAACAGGGACUGGGAUACGGUAGGCCACGUACUUUACUGUGGGACCCAGCAGCACAGUGAAGAACGUGAGAGCUGUCGAUGUAAGACAGUCGUGCAGGAAUGCUAUGAA
Lutra lutra (Eurasian river otter) is the source of this 345-nucleotide long non-coding RNA. RefSeq lists it as uncharacterized. NCBI's taxonomy places the organism in Eukaryota, Metazoa, Chordata, Mammalia, Carnivora, Mustelidae. The record is from RefSeq and is a predicted model, not a curated record. The transcript has 2 exons.